This 205-nucleotide long non-coding RNA is filed under the name Panax ginseng (ginseng). RNAcentral's name for it is "long non-coding RNA (PGIN_LNC010339)". The record is from RNAcentral. Lineage: Eukaryota; Viridiplantae; Streptophyta; Magnoliopsida; Apiales; Araliaceae.
UGAAAGCAUAUUUUGUUUCAGGACUCUGAAUUUAGAUGUGCCUAUACUUGCUGAUGAGGUGCCUUCUCUCCACAAGGGCUGUAACUUUGAUGCAAAGUUGGACUCAGACUUGAUGGACAUACAAGAGGACAUUGAGACACCUCAGGAGAUUAAGGAACAGAUAAGCCUAAACCCAACCUUGACCAAACCACUUCUUUCAAUCUUG